GCCUACGGGGCGCAGCAGUGAGGAAUAUUGGUCAAUGGUCGGGAGACUGAACCAGCCAAGCCGCGUGAGGGAUGAAGGUACAGAGUAUCGUAAACCUCUUUUGUCAGGGAACAAAGGCGGGGACGCGUCCCCGGAUGAGUGUACCUGAAGAAAAAGCAUCGGCUAACUCCGUGCCAGCAGCCGCGGUAAUACGUAGGGGGCAAGCGUUAUCCGGAUUUACUGGGUGUAAAGGGAGCGUAGACGGAAUUGCAAGUCUGAUGUGAAAAUCCGGGGCCCAACCCCGGAACUGCAUUGGAAACUGUAUU
RNAcentral lists this ribosomal RNA (305 nucleotides) under uncultured bacterium. RNAcentral's name for it is "bacterial SSU rRNA". It matches the Rfam family "Bacterial small subunit ribosomal RNA", at positions 337 to 639 of the family's 1533-position model. The record is from RNAcentral.